Molecule: microRNA precursor, 78 nt
Filed under: Schistosoma mansoni
Lineage: Eukaryota; Metazoa; Platyhelminthes; Trematoda; Strigeidida; Schistosomatidae
Description: mir-3492 microRNA precursor family
Rfam family: mir-3492 microRNA precursor family
Source: Rfam by way of RNAcentral
AGCCUUCUGUUUCCGUGCUGAGAUUUUGUCAGACACAAUCCUAUUAGGGCUGAUCAAACUUCCAAGAUAGGUGAAGUU